RNAcentral lists this ribosomal RNA (510 nucleotides) under uncultured bacterium. Its description in RNAcentral is "partial 16S ribosomal RNA". It matches the Rfam family "Bacterial small subunit ribosomal RNA", at positions 28 to 507 of the family's 1533-position model. The record is from RNAcentral.
GACGAACGCUGGCGGCGUGCUUAACACAUGCAAGUCGAACGAAGAGCGAUGGAAGCUUGCUUCUAUCAAUCUUAGUGGCGAACGGGUGAGUAACGCGUAAUCAACCUGCCCUUCAGAGGGGGACAACAGUUGGAAACGACUGCUAAUACCGCAUACGAUCUAAUCUCGGCAUCGAGGAUAGAUGAAAGGUGGCCUCUACAUGUAAGCUAUCACUGAAGGAGGGGAUUGCGUCUGAUUAGCUAGUUGGAGGGGUAACGGCCCACCAAGGCGAUGAUCAGUAGCCGGUCUGAGAGGAUGAACGGCCACAUUGGGACCGAGACACGGCCCAGACUCCUACGGGAGGCAGCAGUGGGGAAUCUUCCGCAAUGGACGAAAGUCUGACGGAGCAACGCCGCGGGAGUGAUGACAGCCUUCGGGUUGUAAAGCUCUGUUAAUCGGGACGAAAGGCCUUCUUGCGAAUAGUGAGAAGGAUUGACGGUACCGGAAUAGAAAGCCACGGCUAACUACGUG